RNAcentral lists this ribosomal RNA (428 nucleotides) under Reticulitermes flavipes (eastern subterranean termite). Its description in RNAcentral is "partial 16S ribosomal RNA". It matches the Rfam family "Archaeal large subunit ribosomal RNA", at positions 1889 to 2554 of the family's 2987-position model. Lineage: Eukaryota; Metazoa; Arthropoda; Insecta; Blattodea; Rhinotermitidae. The record is from RNAcentral.
CGCCUGUUUAUCAAAAACAUCUCUUCUCGUUAGUUUUUGAAGUAUGGCCUGCCCACUGACCUUGAAUGUUGAAGGGCCGCGGUAUUUUGACCGUGCAAAGGUAGCAUAGUCAUUAGUUCUUUAAUUGUGAUCUGGUAUGAAUGGCUUGACGAGGCAUAAGCUGUCUUAAUUUUGAAUUGUUUAUUGAAUUUGGUCUUUGAGUUAAAAUUCUUAGAUGUUUUUAUGGGACGAGAAGACCCUAUAGAGUUUGACAUUUAUUAUGGUCUUUUUCUGUUUGUGAGGGUUCACUAGGGCUGUGUAAUAUGUUUUGUUGGGGUGAUGGGAGGGAUAUUAUUUAACCCCUCCUUUGUGUUGUUAUAUUUAUUUAUAUUUGCUUGAUCCAUUUAUUUUGAUUGUAAGAUUAAAUUACCUUAGGGAUAACAGCGUAA